CGGAGGAAAAGAAACUAACAAGGAUUCCCCUAGUAACUGCGAGUGAAGCGGGAAAAGCUCAAAUUUAAAAUCUGGCGGUCUUUGGCCGUCCGAGUUGUAAUUUAGAGAAGCGUCUUCCGCGCCGGACCGUGCACAAGUCUCCUGGAAUGGAGCGUCAUAGAGGGUGAGAAUCCCGUCUUUGGCACGGAUGCCUGGUGCUUCUGUGAUGCGCUCUCGAAGAGUCGAGUUGUUUGGGAAUGCAGCUCAAAAUGGGUGGUGAACUCCAUCUAAAGCUAAAUAUUGGCGAGAGACCGAUAGCGAACAAGUACCGUGAGGGAAAGAUGAAAAGCACUUUGGAAAGAGAGUGAAACAGUACGUGAAAUUGUUGAAAGGGAAACGCUUGAAGUCAGUCGCGUCGACCGAGACUCAGCCUUGCCUCGGCUUGGUGUACUUCUCGGCCCGACGGGUCAGCGUCAAUUUUGCUCCUCGGAUAAUGGCAAGGGAAAGGUGGCACCUUUAUGGGUGUGUUAUAGUCUCCUGUCGCAUGCGAGGGGUGGGAUUGAGGAACUCAGCGCGCACCUUGGUGUCGGGGCUUCGGCCCACGUCACGCGCUUAGGAUGCUGGCGUAAUGGCUUUAAACGACCCGUCUUGAAACACGGACCAAGGAGUCCAACACGCCCGCGAGUGUUCGGGUGGAAAACCCGUGCGCGUAAUGAAAGUGAAAGUUGGGACCUCUGUCGUGGAGGGCACCGACGCCCGGACCAGACCUUCUGUGACGGAUCUGCGGUAGAGCGUGUGUGUUGGGACCCGAAAGAUGGUGAACUAUGCCUGAAUAGGGUGAAGCCAGAGGAAACUCUGGUGGAGGCUCGUAGCGAUUCUGACGUGCAAAUCGAUCGUCAAAUUUGGGUAUAGGGGCGAAAGACUAAUCGA
Molecule: ribosomal RNA, 909 nt
Filed under: Lactarius crassus
Lineage: Eukaryota; Fungi; Basidiomycota; Agaricomycetes; Russulales; Russulaceae
Description: LSU rRNA
Rfam family: Eukaryotic large subunit ribosomal RNA
Source: RNAcentral